AACGCACCUUGCGCUCCUUGGUAUUCCGAGGAGCAUGCCUGUUUGAGUGUCAUGAACACCCUCCACCUCCGGGGCUUUUGCGAGCUUUCCGGCGGCUGGGACUUGGGGGAUUACUGGCGGCCUUCGCGGGUCGGCUCCCCUUGAAUGCAUUAGCGGGGCGCGACGCGGUCCUUUGCCCGGCGCGGCCAUCCUCGGUGUAGUACGCUAUUCACCUUGGGUUGGCGCGCCUUGACCCGUCAUGCUCGCUUCUAACCGCGUGUAAUGCGCACUUUCAUUGUACAUUUGACCUCAAAUCAGGUAGGACUACCCGCUGAACUUAA
This 320-nucleotide ribosomal RNA is filed under the name uncultured fungus. Its description in RNAcentral is "eukaryotic LSU rRNA". The stretch from base 1 to 52 matches the Rfam family "5.8S ribosomal RNA", at positions 103 to 154 of the family's 154-position model. The record is from RNAcentral. Lineage: Eukaryota; Fungi.